RNAcentral lists this non-coding RNA (421 nucleotides) under Smithella sp. ME-1. Its description in RNAcentral is "LSU rRNA". It matches the Rfam family "Bacterial large subunit ribosomal RNA", at positions 907 to 1329 of the family's 2925-position model. The record is from RNAcentral. Lineage: Bacteria; Pseudomonadati; Thermodesulfobacteriota; Syntrophia; Syntrophales; Smithellaceae.
GCACUGAAUGGGCUAGGGGGCUUAGAGCUUACCAAACCCAAUCAAACUCCGAAUGCCGUUGUUCCAGAUCGCAGUAGUCGGACUACGGGAGAUGAGUUUCGUGGUCGAAAGGGAAACAGCCCAGAUCAUCAGCUAAGGUCCCCAAGUUUAGACUAAGUGGGAAACGAUGUGGAGUUACAAAAACAACCAGGAGGUUGGCUUAGAAGCAGCCACCCUUUAAAGAGUGCGUAAUAGCUCACUGGUCAAGUGAUUCUGCGCGGAAAAUAUAACGGGGCUAAGUCUAACACCGAAGCUAUGGAUUGUGUCGAAAGACACAGUGGUAGGGGAGCGUUCUGUACAGCGGAGAAGGUCGACUGAGAAGACGGCUGGAGCGUACAGAAGUGAGAAUGCAGGCAUGAGUAGCGUAAAACACGUGAGAACC